RNAcentral lists this non-coding RNA (32 nucleotides) under Rattus norvegicus (Norway rat). The record is from RNAcentral. Lineage: Eukaryota; Metazoa; Chordata; Mammalia; Rodentia; Muridae.
UGGAACUAGAUUCCUGGGAUCCCGGCUAACAC